Brassica oleracea var. oleracea is the source of this 1441-nucleotide long non-coding RNA. RefSeq lists it as uncharacterized. The transcript is spliced from 2 exons. The record is from RefSeq and is a predicted model, not a curated record. NCBI's taxonomy places the organism in Eukaryota, Viridiplantae, Streptophyta, Magnoliopsida, Brassicales, Brassicaceae.
AUAAUCAAGUACUGAGUUUAUGAAUGUAGUUUACAUUACUAUGAAUCAACGCAAAUUUUAUAUAACUUUGAGUUAGCAUAGAAGGAAAGAUUAGGGACUAUUUCUCUCUCCUAUCGUCUCUCUUGCAAACGAAAAAAAAAUUACAGAUCUACUUUUCACCGGCGUCCGCCGUCCGGUCGCGAGUGUGAGCGCGUGCCGGCGCCGGUGAACCCUCUCCUCCCUUAUCUGGUUUUACUUUGCUCCACCGGUGGUCUCCUAUUGCUUUGUUGUUGGCUCUGGUUCGGCGUGUUUUGCCCUGUAAGUUCUGUGCGCAAGGUUGCCGGCAGUGGUGGAAGCUCGACGAGAUCUGGUGUUGCAACGCGGUGGGGCGUAAGGGUUUCUCGCCGGUGGAGUCGGCUUUUCUAGGCUGAGAGAGAGGAUCAUGUUUCCCCUUUAGAUCUCUCUCUCGCGUCCUCUCUGUUCUGGGUUGUGUGGAAGGCGUGCUUCUCGGGUUUGCGGUGCGGUGGUGCUGCUCAAGUCUGAUGGUAGCGUGCGACUUCGGUGGUUGGUGUUGCGAGUCUCGUCGGGGCUCCUCUCCUCUGCGCUAGAUUCAAAGGCUACUCCGGUGCCUUAGCCGGAGACGAGUCGCGGGUGUUGGUGUGCAGGCGGAGAUGGCACCGGACCCGGGUCCGACUCAUGUGGGCGUGCAAAGUGGGCUGUUUAUUUGGUCGUCUAUGGCCGGUAAAUUCUGCUUCGUAUGCUCCAAGUCUUUCCGGAAACAUUGCUCUGUCACCGAUUUGAGUUCUACGGUGGUUCUCCAGUGUAGUUCGGGUUCUUGUGUGUUUACUUGUUUCGCUGUCGACUCUAGCGAUCCAUUUGCGAGUCACAAGCACCGUAUCUUCGGUUCUCGAAGGCGGAAAGAGACGUCACGACUUUGGUCUCGGUCGUGGCGGAGUCCCUCUUGCCUCCAGCUACCAUCCCAGUGCUAGUGAAGAAUCACUUGAUUCUCAUUGGUAGUGCAGCUUUGCUGUUUGUGCAGGUCGUUAGAGCCCUCUCGGUAGGUGUGUGGCAUGGAGGUCAGGCCCGUUUUGUGUUCAUGUUUGGUGGCGGCAGUAGCGAGCUCUCUGCUUGGUUGGGAGGCGGUUUCAAACGUUGUGUGACAUUGCGUACAAGCCGAGUGUUGGUGGCAUGUGCAAGGCUCUCGUGCUACUCCGGAGACGACUUGAGAAGUCUUGGCAUCCUAGGCAACGAGGAGAACCUCACCUUCCCGGGAUCAUCGUCAAUGGUUGAGAACGGUUACCAAUUUCAAAGGAUUUCGAAAGACGGACUAGCGGAACGUGCCGAAUUUAGUGGGUGGGCAAAGCUAGUUUUGUAUUAGGUUAACUUUGGAAAUUUUGUUCAAAACGUGUUUGUAACCGGAUCUAUAUUUCCGAGUUUCGGAUCCAAUCAAUAUAUAUUAUUU